AUUGAACGCUGGCGGUAUGCUUUACACAUGCAAGUCGAACGGCAGCACGGACUUCGGUCUGGUGGCGAGUGGCGAACGGGUGAGUAAUGUAUCGGAACGUGCCCAGUCGUGGGGGAUAACGUAGCGAAAGCUACGCUAAUACCGCAUACGAUCUACGGAUGAAAGCGGGGGAUCGCAAGACCUCGCGCGAUUGGAGCGGCCGAUAUCAGAUUAGGUUGUUGGUGAGGUAAAAGCUCACCAAGCCUGCGAUCUGUAGCUGGUCUGAGAGGACGACCAGCCACACUGGAACUGAGACACGGCCCAGACUCCUACGGGAGUCAGCAGUGGGGAAUUUUGGACAAUGGGCGCAAGCCUGAUCCAGCAAUGCCGCGUGCAGGAUGAAGGCCUUCGGGUUGUAAACUGCUUUUGUACGGAACGAAACGGCGAGCUCUAAUACAGUUUGCUAAUGACGGUACCGUAAGAAUAAGCACCGGCUAACUACGUGCCAGCCGCCGCAGUAA
This 500-nucleotide ribosomal RNA is filed under the name uncultured bacterium. RNAcentral describes it as "partial 16S ribosomal RNA". It matches the Rfam family "Bacterial small subunit ribosomal RNA", at positions 30 to 523 of the family's 1533-position model. The record is from RNAcentral.